AACUUUCAACAAUGGAUCUCUUGGCUCUGGCAUCGAUGAAGAACGCAGCGAAAUGCGAUAAGUAGUGUGAAUUGCAGAAUUCAGUGAAUCAUCGAAUCUUUGAACGCACAUUGCGCCCCUUGGUAUUCCAUGGGGCAUGCCUGUUCG
Molecule: ribosomal RNA, 147 nt
Filed under: Pleosporales sp. SPu1-1
Lineage: Eukaryota; Fungi; Ascomycota; Dothideomycetes; Pleosporales
Description: 5.8S ribosomal RNA
Rfam family: 5.8S ribosomal RNA
About the family: 5.8S ribosomal RNA (5.8S rRNA) is a component of the large subunit of the eukaryotic ribosome. It is transcribed by RNA polymerase I as part of the 45S precursor that also contains 18S and 28S rRNA.
Source: RNAcentral